GAUGAACGCUGGCGGCGUGCUUAACACAUGCAAGUCGAACGGAAAGGCUCCUGCUUGCAGGGGCACUCGAGUGGCGAACGGGUGAGUAACACGUGGGUGAUCUGCCCUGCACUUCGGGAUAAGCCUGGGAAACUGGGUCUAAUACCGGAUAGGACCAUCGUUUAGUGUCGGUGGUGGAAAGUUUUUUCGGUGUGGGAUGAGCUCGCGGCCUAUCAGCUUGUUGGUGGGGUAAUGGCCUACCAAGGCGUCGACGGGUAGCCGGCCUGAGAGGGUGUACGGCCACACUGGGACUGAGUUACGGCCCAGACUCCUACGGGAGGCAGCAGUGGGGAAUAUUGCACGAUGGGCGCAAGCCUGAUGCAGCGACGCCGCGUGGGGGAUGACGGCCUUCGGGUUGUAAGCUCCUUUCGCCAGGGACGAAGCGAAAGUGACGGUACCUGGAGAAGAAGCACCGGCUAACUACGUG
RNAcentral lists this ribosomal RNA (466 nucleotides) under uncultured bacterium. Its description in RNAcentral is "partial 16S ribosomal RNA". It matches the Rfam family "Bacterial small subunit ribosomal RNA", at positions 28 to 507 of the family's 1533-position model. The record is from RNAcentral.